Molecule: ribosomal RNA, 207 nt
Filed under: uncultured Pseudomonas sp.
Lineage: Bacteria; Pseudomonadati; Pseudomonadota; Gammaproteobacteria; Pseudomonadales; Pseudomonadaceae
Description: partial 16S ribosomal RNA
Rfam family: Bacterial small subunit ribosomal RNA
Source: RNAcentral
ACACUUCGAAAGGAACGCUAAUACCGCAUACGUCCUACGGGAGAAAGCAGGGGACCUUCGGGCCUUGCGCUAUCAGAUGAGCCUAGGUCGGAUUAGCUAGUUGGUGAGGUAAUGGCUCACCAAGGCGACGAUCCGUAACUGGUCUGAGAGGAUGAUCAGUCACACUGGAACUGAGACACGGUCCAGACUCCUACGGGAGGCAGCAGC